AGCGAACGCUGGCGGCAGGCCUAACACAUGCAAGUCGAACGAACCUUUCGGGGUUAGUGGCGGAUGGGUGAGUAACACGUGGGAACGUGCCUUUAGGUUCGGAAUAACUCAGGGAAACUUGUGCUAAUACCGAAUGUGCCCUUCGGGGGAAAGAUUUAUCGCCUUUAGAGCGGCCCGCGUCUGAUUAGCUAGUUGGUUGAGGUAAUGGCUCACCAAGGCGACGAUCAGUAGCUGGUCUGAGAGGAUGAUCAGCCACAUUGGGACUGAGACACGGCCCAAACUCCUACGGGAGGCAGCAGUGGGGAAUCUUGCGCAAUGGGCGAAAGCCUGACGCAGCCAUGCCGCGUGAAUGAUGAAGGUCUUAGGAUUGUAAAAUUCUUUCACCGGGGACGAUAAUGACGGUACCCGGAGAAGAAGCCCCGGCUAACUUCGUG
This 434-nucleotide ribosomal RNA is filed under the name uncultured bacterium. RNAcentral describes it as "partial 16S ribosomal RNA". It matches the Rfam family "Bacterial small subunit ribosomal RNA", at positions 29 to 507 of the family's 1533-position model. The record is from RNAcentral.